RNAcentral lists this ribosomal RNA (253 nucleotides) under uncultured bacterium. RNAcentral describes it as "partial 16S ribosomal RNA". It matches the Rfam family "Bacterial small subunit ribosomal RNA", at positions 524 to 776 of the family's 1533-position model. The record is from RNAcentral.
UACGUAGGGCGCAAGCGUUGUCCGGAAUUAUUGGACGUAAAGAGCUCGUAGGCGGCUUGUCACGUCGGGUGUGAAAGCCCGGGGCUUAACCCCGGGUCUGCAUUCGAUACGGGCUAGCUAGAGUGUGGUAGGGGAGAUCGGAAUUCCUGGUGUAGCGGUGAAAUGCGCAGAUAUCAGGAGGAACACCGGUGGCGAAGGCGGAUCUCUGGGCCAUUACUGACGCUGAGGAGCGAAAGCGUGGGGAGCGAACAGG